CAAUUCAUUUGAAAAUUCACCUUUCAAACAAAGUGCAUUCAAAUAAGUUCCCAAAUGAACCCCGGUGAGUUAGUGCUUAUAUAAGCAUGGGUCAUAUUUUAAAUAUUGUAUAUAAGAAUAGGUCAUUCUUUCUGAAAUAUUUAUAUAACUAUAGGUACUGAAUUUCAGUGAAUGUUAUAUUAAAAUGGGUACGUUUUUUGAGGCAAAAAUGGCACACCCCUACCAAGAAAAUAUCGAAGUUAACCCCCCGUGUGUCAUCCUAGUUUAUAUAUACUAAAAGUCUAUCAACUUAAAAGUGGUGGAAAAAGAUGAGUUUGUGUAAAAAUAAUCGUUUGCAAGUUUGAUACAAAAAUUCAAUGAAAUCAAUGAAAUAUGGGAAAUAUUAAUAUCCAUGUAUGAUAUUGAUUGGAGUAACAUCUUUCAUAACUAUAUAUAUCAACUUUAUAUGAAACAUCACAAACGUGAUUGUAUAAGGAAACUGACAAGAGUUCAUGACCAAAGAGCAGCUAGUAUUUUGAGACAAAACAUAAAGACGUUUAUCCAGGGCCCUUUUUAUACUAGUCUUAGUAUAGACCGUUCCUGUAUCAUCAUAAAUUCUCAGAAAAUAGGAAAACGGAAAUAUUUCCUCAUUGUAUCUUUGAUUUAACAAAGAUAAUAAUGAUGAUUGAAAAAGGAAACUGAAAAAUAUCAUGACCAAAUAAGUAUUAUUUUGAGUAAAAAUAAAGGA
Molecule: long non-coding RNA, 727 nt
Filed under: Mytilus galloprovincialis (Mediterranean mussel)
Lineage: Eukaryota; Metazoa; Mollusca; Bivalvia; Mytilida; Mytilidae
Source: RNAcentral